This 252-nucleotide ribosomal RNA is filed under the name uncultured bacterium. RNAcentral describes it as "partial 16S ribosomal RNA". It matches the Rfam family "Bacterial small subunit ribosomal RNA", at positions 524 to 776 of the family's 1533-position model. The record is from RNAcentral.
UACGUAAGGUCCGAGCGUUGUCCGGAAUCAUUGGGCGUAAAGGGUACGUAGGCGGAUAAGCAAGUUAGAAGUGAAAUCCUAUAGCUCAACUAUAGUAAGCUUUUAAAACUGCUUAUCUUGAGGUAUGGAAGGGAAAGUGGAAUUCCUAGUGUAGCGGUAAAAUGCGUAGAUAUUAGGAGGAACACCAGUGGCGAAGGCGGCUUUCUGGAUAUUAUCUGACGCUGAGGUACGAAAGCGUGGGUAGCAAACAGG